This 253-nucleotide ribosomal RNA is filed under the name uncultured bacterium. RNAcentral describes it as "partial 16S ribosomal RNA". It matches the Rfam family "Bacterial small subunit ribosomal RNA", at positions 524 to 776 of the family's 1533-position model. The record is from RNAcentral.
UACGGAGGGUGCAAGCGUUAUCCGGAUUCACUGGGCUUAAAGGGCGCGUAGGCGGGUUGGUAAGUCAGUGGUGAAAUCCCCGAGCUUAACUUGGGAACUGCCAUUGAUACUAUCAGUCUUGAAUACCGUGGAGGUCAGUGGAAUAUGUCAUGUAGCGGUGAAAUGCUUAGAUAUGACAUAGAACACCAAUUGCGAAGGCAGCUGGCUACACGAAUAUUGACACUGAGGCACGAAAGCGUGGGGAUCAAACAGG